GACGAACGCUGGCGGCGUGCUUAACACAUGUAAGUCGAACGGAAAGGCCCUGCUUUUGUGGGGUGCUCGAGUGGCGAACGGGUGAGUAACACGUGAGUAACCUGCCCUUGACUUUGGGAUAACUUCAGGAAACUGGGGCUAAUACCGGAUAGGAGCUCCUGCUGCAUGGUGGGGGUUGGAAAGUUUCGGCGGUUGGGGAUGGACUCGCGGCUUAUCAGCUUGUUGGUGGGGUAGUGGCUUACCAAGGCUUUGACGGGUAGCCGGCCUGAGAGGGUGACCGGCCACAUUGGGCCUGAGAUACGGCCCAGACUCCUACGGGAGGCAGCAGUGGGGAAUAUUGCACAAUGGGCGGAAGCCUGAUGCAGCAACGCCGCGUGCGGGAUGACGGCCUUCGGGUUGUAAACCGCUUUCGCCUGUGACGAAGCGUGAGUGACGGUAAUGGGUAAAGAAGCACCGGCUAACUACGUG
This 468-nucleotide ribosomal RNA is filed under the name uncultured bacterium. RNAcentral describes it as "partial 16S ribosomal RNA". It matches the Rfam family "Bacterial small subunit ribosomal RNA", at positions 28 to 507 of the family's 1533-position model. The record is from RNAcentral.